This is a non-coding RNA of Paramuricea clavata, 73 nucleotides long. The record is from the annotation of a GenBank genome assembly. Lineage: Eukaryota; Metazoa; Cnidaria; Anthozoa; Malacalcyonacea; Plexauridae.
GACCGCGUAGCUCAGUUGGCAGAGCAUUGGACUAGUAUUCCAAAGGUCGCGGGUUCGAUUCCCACCGUGGCCA